AUCAGGCAGCAGUGAUGGGACCCAAAGCAUACAGAGACAAUGAGAAACGCAAUGAUGGCACCCUGGAAACCCUUUUUGAGUUCACUGCCUUUCUCACUAUCUCCAAAGGCUGCUGGGUUUGAUUUCCACCUACCCAAGAGCCUACCAAGGAUGUGCAGGUUGUUGGUUCCUUGUUUUAAUAUCUUUGGGAGUGACUGGAUCUUGGAAAGAGUGUGUCUUGUUCACCUAACACCCGAGGAUUGUGGCACUUGUGGAUGA
This 258-nucleotide long non-coding RNA is filed under the name Mustela putorius furo (domestic ferret). Its description in RNAcentral is "lncRNA (ENSMPUG00000028772.1)". The record is from RNAcentral. Lineage: Eukaryota; Metazoa; Chordata; Mammalia; Carnivora; Mustelidae.